UAUAAGGGAUUUUGAUAUUUUGCUUGCACUGUUUGACCAUUCGUCUUAUUCAAAAAAUUUUGGAACCAUUAUUUUUUUUGUGACUUACUUUAUUAUCCAAAGUGCUUUAAGCACAACUUUUCGUUUUUUAUAUUUGCACAAAUUUUUUGAAUAAGACGAGUGGUCAAACAGUGCAAGCAAAAUAUCAAAAUCCCUUAUA
This 199-nucleotide microRNA precursor is filed under the name Oryza nivara. RNAcentral describes it as "MIR812 microRNA precursor family". It matches the Rfam family "MIR812 microRNA precursor family". The record is from Rfam by way of RNAcentral. Lineage: Eukaryota; Viridiplantae; Streptophyta; Magnoliopsida; Poales; Poaceae.